AUUUUAUUCAUUUUAUAAAGAGGAAUUUCGUUUGGAAACCUAUUUGAUAAAGUUGAAGCUGUGUGACAGGAUUUAUAUGGCAAAACUCAGAUGUUCAAAUUUAAAAAUUCCUGUAGAAACGGGAAGAUGGUCCGGAAUUCCAAAAAAUGCACGAAUUUGUCAUCUCUGUGGAAAUGGAAUAGGUGAUGAAUUUCAUUAUCUUUUUAAAUGUCAAAAACAAGAAAUAAAACUGCUUAGAAAUAAAUAUAUUCCACAAUAUUAUACUGCAAAUCCAACGGAGUACAAAUUGAAACAGC
Molecule: long non-coding RNA, 296 nt
Filed under: Mytilus galloprovincialis (Mediterranean mussel)
Lineage: Eukaryota; Metazoa; Mollusca; Bivalvia; Mytilida; Mytilidae
Source: RNAcentral